Molecule: ribosomal RNA, 1653 nt
Filed under: Triticum aestivum (bread wheat)
Lineage: Eukaryota; Viridiplantae; Streptophyta; Magnoliopsida; Poales; Poaceae
Description: partial small subunit ribosomal RNA
Source: RNAcentral
AUGCUGGAUGAUGGCGAUGAUGAUGAUGAUGAGGUAAAUUUUGAGGACGAUGACGAUGAUGAGUUUAAUCUGGCUGAAAUUGUGUGUGACCCCGCUCAUAGGCAACUAAUUGCUGAUUAUCAUCCGAAUAUUCAAGAUCAGGUGAGAAGAGCACACAUAUUGAAGGGUCCAACCCGACCAACUGUCAAAUUUGAUCGCAAAAAAAUUGGAAGCAAGAACCGUGCAUUUUCUAAAAAUUGGUAUAAGAAUUAUGAGUGGUUAGAAUAUAGUGUGUCCGAGCAAGCUGCAUUUUGUUUCUAUUGCUUUCUUUUGGAUUGGAAGCAUGCAUAUCAGGCAUUGCCUGCUCAUGUUGGUGGGGUAAAUAGUGCACACAAAAAGGCAAGAUUGCAUUAUGAUGAUUUUCAUAAUCAAAGGCAAAGCGUGUCUAGUAACUUUGCUAGGUCAUCCAAGGAGUCUGAAGUACUUUACAAAAUUCGGUUGCACACUUCUCUGGGUUGUGCAAGAUAUCUCAUUGCUCAAGGCUUGGCUUUUCAUGGCCAUGAUAAAAGUUCAACUUCACUGAACAAGGGUAACUUCCAUGAGAUGGUAGAUUGGCAUAAAGCUAGUGAUGAAGUGAGGAAUGCUUUUGACCAUGGUAGUUGAAACUGCAAGAUGCUUGCUGCUGAAAUUCAAGAAGAUCUUGCAAAGUGUUGCGCAGAAGAGGUCACCAAAGCGAUCAUGAGAGAAAUUGGUGAUAAGAAAUUCUCUGUGCUUGUCGAUGAGUCAUGUGAUAUAUCUGUCAAAGAGCAAAUGGCGGUGAUGUUGAGGUAUGUCAAUGAUAAAGGGAAAACCGUGGAACGAGUUCUCUCUCUAUACCAUGCCAGUGAGACUACAUCAGAGGCACUAAAGGUAGCUCUUGUUGACAUUCUUGAUCAUCAUAAGUUAUCCAUUCAUAGUCUACGAGGGCAAGGAUAUGAUGGAGCUUAAAAUAUGAGAGGUGAAUUUAAUGGUUUGCAAAAGAAAAUUCUUGACGAGAACCCUUAUGCCUUAUAUGUGAAUUGCUUUGCACAUCGUUUACAAUUGCUGGUUGUCUCGGUUGCUAGUUGUUGCUCCUCUUUCAUGAUUUGUUUGAUCAUAUAUGUGCUUCGUGAGGUCAAUGAUGAAGGGCGUGGACCGUGUCAGGCGGCGGGUUAGAUAGAGAUAAUGGAGAGUUUCAAAUUUGCUUUCGUAUUGCAUCUUAUGAUAAAGUUUCUUGCUAUCACAAAUGAACUCUCACAAGUCUUGUAGAGAAAAGAUAUAAACAUUGUUAAUGCCAUUGAAAUAGUUGGUGAUGUCAAAGCUCGGCUGGCCUCUAUGAGAGAAAGUGGUUGGGAAAGCUUGUUCGACGAAGUCCAACACUUUUGUGUCGCCAAAGGUAUUCCAGUGCCGGAUAUGAAUGAAAGAAUACUGGUCCGAGGUCGUUCAAGGCUUGAUGGUGUGACCUACACCAAUCUUCAUUUCUAUCGAGUUGAGAUCUUCUAUGUCGCCAUUGACAAGAUAUGCACUAAGAUGAAUCAUCGCUUCAAUGAAGCAUCUUCAAAUAUAAUAGUGGCCUUCUCAUGCCUUCAUCCAAAAAAUUCCUUCUCCAAAAGGGUGAGUCUGUUGGUCUUGCAUUCACCUGGGCCAAAGUCUUAG